Non-coding RNA from Jatropha curcas, 598 nucleotides. Lineage: Eukaryota; Viridiplantae; Streptophyta; Magnoliopsida; Malpighiales; Euphorbiaceae. The record is from RefSeq and is a predicted model, not a curated record.
UUUGUAGCUGCAUAUUUCUGGGUGCUUAGGUCAUUUUUCUAUGUAUAGUUCUUUCUCUGUGUUUUUUCAUGCAGUUGGAGUUACUAUAUUUAUAUAUACGCUUAUACCUAUUUCUUCAACAUAACCAAAUUCUCUGCUAUUGGCUUUUUAUUUUUAAUUAUUUCUUUCUUUUGGGAGUGUAAAGGCUUUGAGAGGGAAAGCCUUUGCCUUAUUAGUUUUACUGCCACUGGAUUUUAGUUUACUACCUAUGAUUCCAUUUGUUGGGGAAGGAGGGGAUCAGUUCACCAGAACUGACUACCUAGCUAAUUAGUAGUUGGGUUGGGACUUUGAGACAGAUGGUGGAGCAGAGGCAGUACAUAUUUUUCUUCAGUAGUUGUUCGAUCCCAUUACUCGAUGGGUGGUUGGCUUGCUGUACAUUUUUUGAACAAUCAUUCACCGAUUCGCCAUUGUUAGUGCUCUAGUAAUUUUUUACACUGUUUUUCUCCGGUAGAAUCAGGAAGUAUAAUCUAUUUUCAAUCAUAAAGUGUAAAAAUUUUUAUUCCUUGCAGUAAGUGUGCUCUCAUCGUUACGGAAAUUUAUGUCAUUUAUUCAUAGUUUA